GAAAAUUUGGUUUUGGAGUUUUAAAAAAGAGGCAAGAUUCAAAUUAAAUCAAUUUUGUUAAUUACAAUCCUCUCUAAGUAUCAUUGACAACAUUUCAAACCAUCCAUAACACAUUCAUUAAGGAUCAUGAAAAUUAAAAAUAGAAUUGAACGAAUAAAAUUCCAUUAAUUACCAUCAAGUCAUGAAGUACAACAACCAUAUCAUCUUCAUCCAUCUCUACAUACAACAACAUCCAUACUAACAUAUCCAUAUUACAUACACAACAAAAAACUAAAAAAUAAUAUCAUUUGAAAUUCAACACGAAACACUUGAAAUACGUGAAUUACAUCAUCCAUAAGCACAAGU
Molecule: long non-coding RNA, 345 nt
Filed under: Lathyrus oleraceus (garden pea)
Lineage: Eukaryota; Viridiplantae; Streptophyta; Magnoliopsida; Fabales; Fabaceae
Description: Pisum sativum (pea) long non-coding RNA (PSAT_LNC027627)
Source: RNAcentral